CCUACGGGAGGCAGCAGUAAGGAAUAUUGGUUCAAUGGGCGCAAGCCUGAACCAGCCAUGCCGCGUGCAGGAAGACGGCCCUAUGGGUUGUAAACUGCUUUUGAACAAGAGAAAACCUCGGUACGUGUACCGAGCUGAUAGUAUUGUUAGAAUAAGCAUCGGCUAACUUCGUGCCAGCAGCCGCGGUAAGACGAAGGAUGCAAGCGUUAUCCGGAUUCAUUGGGUUUAAAGGGUGCGUAGGCGGCCUGAUAAGUCAGUGGUGAAAUCUCUCAGCUUAACUGAGAAACUGCCAUUGAUACUGUCGGGCUUGAGUACAGAUGAUGUGGGCGGAAUAUGACAUGUAGUGGUGAAAUACUUAGAUAUGUCAUAGAACACCGAUUGCGAAGGCAGCUCACAAAACUGUAAACUGACGCUGAGGCACGAAAGUGCGGGGAUCAAACAGGAUUAGAUACCCUGGUAGUCCGCACCGUAAACGAUGAUUACUCGUUNUUGGCAAUAUGACCGUCAGCGACCAAGCGAAAGCGAUAAGAAUCCACCUGGGGAGUACGCCGGCAAACGGUUGAAAACGUCAAAANAGAGUAGACGGACGNGAGGAGAGCGACGGACGACGACGAGGGGAGGAGG
Molecule: ribosomal RNA, 624 nt
Filed under: uncultured bacterium
Lineage: Bacteria
Description: bacterial SSU rRNA
Rfam family: Bacterial small subunit ribosomal RNA
Source: RNAcentral